GUCGCUGUUUUUUCCUUCCAUUACGAUUUGUCUUAUCCCAAACUUCGUGUUGCACAGAGGAUAAUUUCAGUUUUUGCAAACUGUGAUAAUUUUAAUUUUCGCACAUUUUGAUAAUUGCAAUUAUCACGUUCAUGUGAAAACUAGAAUUUCCCAUGUAACUAGAUGACCGCAAUGCGGUGGGGGGCCGACUGAGAAAUCACUCGAUUCCCAUCCGAAUAAAUUUUCACCGAUAAAGAAAGAGCUUGGGACACAUAUUGUGCAACACUUUUCUCCAUGAUAGAGCAUCUAGGCGGACUGCCAUUGAAUCCCUCUUCCAGGAAAAGCUCGAUCGGUUCCUCCGAUGAGUGUGGAAUUGUUCAGGAAAGAUUACAAAUGUUCCUAAACAAAAUCUACUAUGAUUUUAUAAUUUCAUUUUAUAUCACGGGUUUAUGAGCCGGUACUGUUUUACGGAAGGAAAACAUAUAUUAUUAGCAUUUUACAAAAAUAGAAAUUAAAUUUUAAUUCCUAAAAGCGUUAAAAAGAACAAGUGUGGUAAAUGUAAACUCAUAACUCCACGUGUUGGUGCUCUUACAUGCACUGUGUUUUGUUAUAACCAGUCUAGGGUUCCAUAUAUAUUUUAAGUGGUUACGGUAAAUACAACCCCAAUUCAAUGCCUUCUUUUCCGUAACUUUCUUUUGCAUUUUUAACUCCCUACCAAACAAAUUCCGUUUUUUUAUUUAAUGGAUGCAGUUUCUACUCUGAUUGGAUUUGAAUCAUGGGUUAUGGGAGAUUGAUCAGAUCUGUGUGACUUCAAUUUUUGGUUAAUGAAGAAUCAAUUAAGUUAUUACUCAUUGUUUUUUUCGGUAUGGUGGUGAUGAAGGUGAGACUGUGAGAGUAAUUUGAUUCCUAUCUUUAGUAUCUACCGCAAGAAUUCUGGGCUAAUUAAUCGGGUGCGGUUUUAACCCGAUCUGGUUCAUCAUCUCCUACAUCCGCGAUUAACCCGAGAUGACCCGAAAUCUCUGUAAUUUACAGUAUACCUCUGUUUUUAUUCCAGAUUUUCUUUUCCAAUUAACUUCAGCGAAAUAAUGCAUGAAGAUUUGAGUUGUUUGUUGAUUCCUCAAAUUGGAUAGAUGUAUAAAUUUCUUUGGUUGAUCAUUUUUUGAUUAAUUCUAUGAAUUUAAUCAUAGUUAAACUUUGAA
Molecule: long non-coding RNA, 1178 nt
Organism: Papaver somniferum (opium poppy)
Lineage: Eukaryota; Viridiplantae; Streptophyta; Magnoliopsida; Ranunculales; Papaveraceae
Exons: 2
Source: RefSeq, a predicted model, not a curated record